This is a long non-coding RNA of Silurus meridionalis, 2929 nucleotides long. RefSeq lists it as uncharacterized. The record is from RefSeq and is a predicted model, not a curated record. The transcript is spliced from 3 exons. NCBI's taxonomy places the organism in Eukaryota, Metazoa, Chordata, Actinopteri, Siluriformes, Siluridae.
GUGUGAGCUGCUCGGUGGGAAAAAGACAAGAUCGUAAGAGAUGAUGGAUCUAACCCAUUUCAGCUGCAAGAUCUUCCAUUGGCAAUCCACCUUCAGGAAGACAUUAAUCUUUCUCCGCACUGCGACUAUAAAUAGACUGCUAUGUUAUUGUUGUAGACACACUGUGAAGUGAAUUUAAAGUGGAUGUGCCCGUGCUAGGCAUCAUGCCAUGGCGCAGCUCUGAUGAAAACCUGAUUGAGUCUAACUCAAGAACAAACAGCAGGCUUGGACAUAGCAAUCUGACCGUUUGGUCGCAGACGGGGAGACGGACGUGAUGAUGGUCGGCUGCACCAUCCACUGCAAAUCUGGACUGGUGGAGAUCGCAGUUACUGUGGGGACAAACGGAGCCGCGGGCGCCUCAAGAUCCGACCCUGGGCCCUGCAUUCAGUCGCUGACGCAGAGCUGCUGCGGAGUCUCCACACAGAGAACCGCUGCAGAGCCACUUCAACACUGAAGCACGACAAAAAAACCAUUUAAACCCAUUUCUGACAUAAUAUCAACAAGAUGCAUUCUUAUUAUAACCUAAACAACGCCGAAUAGGAUGUUCAUUGAUCCCCAAAUUGGGUGAUGAUCAGGGUAAAAAAAAUGAUUUUGAAUUAAUCAUAAUUUGAUAUUAAAAAAAAUAUCCCCCAAAUAUAUGUGCUGUCCUGAAGAUCUGAUCCUUUUCAUGAAGAACUACCAGACAGGCUUGUCAUUACCCUCAUUGCCUAUCAGGAUUGAAGCAGCCUACACCAUGAUUAUACUGUGUUGAUGCUUAAUGCUCAGGGAUGUUGCCUACCUGUGUGGUCUCCAUCAGCUCCCCGGCAGGAGAUGCAGAGCUGCAGCGUGACACAGACUCCACACCGGCUUUGCUAAGGAUCAUUUCUCCACGUAGGCACGUUUCCAGAAGAAAGAAAGGGAAAAAUAGGAUCCAGGGAUCCGAUCUGUCAAGCCUCGCUUCCCUGAUUCUAGUCGCCCUUUUCCAGGUUUAUAUAUAAACCUGGUCACUGAUAACCCUGCUCUACAAGCCCCGCCCUCCUAUAUAUUCCCUCAGAAUUUUAUGAAUGAACCGAGGAUGUACCAUUUUGGGCUGCGGGGAGCAUCUUUUUUUUUCUCAAUAUAACAACGCACCUGCAUCGACCAACCUAUACACACUCAUACUACAUUUAAUACCUAAGAUGAUUUGAAAACAAAAAUAUAUUAUUAAAAUAUUAUAAUUCUUUCUGCAUUUUGCUGUGUAUUUCCCGGACUGUAUUGGACCCUCCUGAAAGAGAACAUGUGCAACAUGUUCAUUCAUAAAAUACUGAUGCGCCCCAAGUGCUCUAAAAGCCAACGCAUAAUAUACAAUGUGAAUGAACUAUGAAAAAUGGUAUAAUAUGUAUUUAAUUAGUUAAGUUAGUUUUCUUAGUGGCUGAUACGAGCAUAUUUGCUCAAGUUAUUAGGUCAUUUCAUUGUAAAUGAAUCUUGAAUGAGAAAUUCGGAUGUGUACCUUGUAAACAAUAAUACUGUAAUCUCUUAAAGCAUUUAUACAUAUAAACUUGAGUACUACGUAUAUUUAAAUGUGUGCAAACAGUAUUAGGAAGCUUCCUUGCUGCACUGCAUCUAAUUGCAAUUCAGCUCUAGCCUCAUAAGCCAGUGGGAUGCCAGGCUUCUUAGUUUAAAGUAGAAAUUUUUUAGAUUUGGCAGGUAGAAUAACCGUGAAAUAAAAAUUAAAAUUAGAAAUAACAUUUUUGCACGUGUAUUGGAGGUGGAAGUUUUUCUUUAUCGUCGCUUUCUUUAUAGUUAAUUCGAAUGCACGGAGAAGUGCUGAAAGAAUCCAAUCUGGCAACCCGGACUCAUCUUGUCGAUCGUUUCUGUUGCGCCCACGUCCUGUAGUGACGCGAUAGCGGCGAACGGGAAGUUGACCAUAUAAGGACAGUGACGUACUGGGAUUCCAUUUUUGAUUCCCUAAUAAAAGUUUAUACACAAGGAUGUUCCUGCAUGUUACUGAGGGGCAAACGUGGGAUAGCUAUGACAUUGCUAUUUUAUUUUCCAAAGCACAUUAUGUAGUAGAAGAUGUAAUACGCAAUUAGAAAUAGUUUUUUCACUAAUAUAAUAUAAUACAAUAUGAUUUUUGAGGACUUGACAUCUGUAGCUACAGUCAGUCUUCUAUAUUCAUGCAGAGGUGGCACAAAGUGGCAUUUAAACCACUUUAAAUAGACCAUGUCACCCCACUGCCAUCAGUUCUGAUGUCAAAUAAUAUAUUUUUUUAAAUACUUCACUCACAGAAAAAAAAAAAAACUGUACAUUUUAUUAAAGAGCUGUAGCCUCUCAAAGAAACAUUCAAAACAACAGUAGGUCCAUGGUAGCAUUAGGAGCCACAUUUGUAUAGUGAAGUAAUGGAGUAAUACUUUAAAUGUAUACUUAUUGCACUUUUCAAGGUGAAAGUUAAACACUUAACCCUUAGUGAUAUAAUGGAAAGGUAUAGUUUUAUACCCAAAAGUUAUUACAAUUCAGCAAAACGUAAUACAUAACAUCUAGUGAAUCAUGAAUCAAUUGAUCAAAGUCAUGUAUUACAUAUUUUAUAAUUUCAGUAUCAAGAACUUCACAGCAACUAAAAAGCAAAUAUUGCAAUGUUUUUGUGUGAUCAUUUAUUUUUCACUACGUCUAAUAACGCCUGGUUUCCACCCAUUCAUGUGCCCUUGACUUGAAAAUGUUACCACACCACUGGUACUGAGAAGUCAAAUUAGUAGCUACAGCAUACCCACUGUGAUCUCAGCUGUUCACCUUGAUGUUAAACCAAAUGUGUCACCUGGAACCAUUUCUUUAAUUUGGAAAAGAAAGCUGGAGAUGUGACAUAUUAUGUGCACCCCAAUUAGUAGACAGUCUUUUUUUUACAUAAUCAUUCGUACAUACAGCCUUCUACCAAAAA